RNAcentral lists this long non-coding RNA (1470 nucleotides) under Mytilus galloprovincialis (Mediterranean mussel). Lineage: Eukaryota; Metazoa; Mollusca; Bivalvia; Mytilida; Mytilidae. The record is from RNAcentral.
UGCUUGCUUGUUAGCUGAACCGUGAAGUCAUUAUUAAGUAAGGUAUACUACCCUCCUGUAGAAGUAGCCUAAUCCUACAGACAGAUUGAUUGGUUAUCUGUCGAACUAGUCUUCUCUUAAAGGAGGGUAGUUUACCUAACCUUAUAAUACAAGCAAGAUAACCGAGGAAGCUACCUUUGCCUACACACUCAAUGCAAUCGGCUGUAACUUCUUUACAUUAUAGGUUGCAACACCUUGCCAAAUUAUUGGGUUCCAAUAAUCGUUUGGAAAAUUAAGUCAAUGCGCUUUCCCAUAGGGUUUUAUGCAGAACAAUUACCGAAAAUCUAUUAUGGAAGCUUGCAAAAACAAUAUCAAAAUCGAAAUCUAACUGAACAAUGAAGUUAAUCACAUUAAAAAAGGUUGAGACGUUGAAGGCCAAAUAAGUUUUCAUAUUUCAUAUUCUUGCGUGUCUUAUUAUAAUUAGACGAUCAUUACAAAGAAAUUUAAUAUCAAGACAAAAAUUAAUGUAGAGUUUCAUUGGUAAAAUUAACACUACAAUACAAAUAAAGGAUUCUCAAAUGAUCAUGACUUUUGCUUCAAGUAAAAUGAUCAAUUAAUCAAUUAAUCAAUCAAUCAAUUGAUCAAUCAAUAAAAUUGAGAAUGGAAAUACAAAACGUGUAAAAGAAACAACACAGCAUAACCAAAGAGCACAGCCGAAGGCCACCAAUGGGUCUUCAACACAACGAGAAAAUCCCUCAACCAGAGGCGUGCUUCAGCUGGUCUCUAAAAAAAAUAUAUACUAGUUAGGUGAAAAUGGACGUCACACUUAACUUAGAUAAAAAAAACCAAGAAAAAAACAUAAAAAACUAACAAAGACCGGAGUAUCCUGACUUGGGACAGGCGCAAAAAUGCGGCGGGGUUAAACAUGCUUUGUGAGAUCUGACCCUCCCAACUAUACAACUAUAGCUAGCUAAUGUAGAAUGAACAAACAAACAACAAUAUGCGCAGCAAAACUACGUUUAAAAGAAAUCCGAGUUCGAUGUCAGAAUAGUAAACAAAAGAAACUACGCAAAAUAAAUAUAAUUCAUAAAUUGACAAAGAACUGCUAGCAGUAACUGACAUGCCAGUUCCAGACCCCAAUUAAACAUAUCGAAAUAAUAUAUAGAUAUAAGAAGAUGUGGAAUAAGUGCUAAUGAGACAACUCUCCAUAAAGUCACAGUUUGUAAAAGUAAACUAUUAUAGGUCAAAGUACCCUCUUCAACACGAAUCCUUGGCUCACACCGAAUAGCAAGUCAAAAAGAUACCCCAAAAUGACUAGUGUAAAACCAUUCGAACGGGAAAACCAACGGUCUUUAUAACUAUGUAAAAAACGAGAAGCGAGAACCACAUCAACAAACAACAACUACUGUUUUUUUUGUGAUUAUUUGAUUACUGAACCUAAUAUUUCAUGAUUUUUUAUUAUCUAGGACUGUAUUUUUGAUUGAUAACCAA